UAACUCGCCGAAAGUGAGCUAAUACCGUAUACGCUUGUUGUCUCACGGGAUAACAAGGAAAGCUGGACCGAGGGUUUGGCGCUCAAGGAUGGGCUCAUGUCCUAUCAGCUUGUUGGUAGGGUAACGGCCUACCAAGGCAACGACGGGUAGCUGGUCUGAGAGGAUGAUCAGCCACACUGGCACUGAGACACGGGCCAGACUCCUACGGGAGGCAGCAGUGAGGAAUAUUGCGCAAUGGGCGAAAGUGACGCAGCGACGCCGCGUGGGGGAUGAAGGUUUUCGAAUUGUAAACCCCUUUCAGGAGGAAAGAGAAGGUGGGUUACCACCUAGACGGUACCUCCAGAAGAAGCCACGGCUAACUUCGUGCCAGCAGCCGCGGUAAUACGAAGGUGGCGAGCGUUGUUCGGAUUUACUGGGCGUAAAGAGCACGUAGGCGGUUAGAUAAGCCUCUUGGGAAAGCUCCUGGCUUAACCGGGAAAGGUCGAGGGGAACUGUCUAGCUAGAGGGCGGGAGAGGAGCGUGGAAUUCCCGGUGUAGCGGUGAAAUGCGUAGAUAUCGGGAAGAAGGCCAGUGCGAAGCGACGCUCUGGAACGAUCCUGACGCUGAGGUGCGAAAGGUGGGGAGCAAACAGGAUUAGAUACCCUGGUAGUCCACGCCCUAAACGAUGGGCACUAAGUGUCGGCGGGUUACCCGUGCCGCAGCUAACGCAGUAAGUGCCCCGCCUGGGAAGUACGGCCGCAAGUUGAAACUCAAAGGAAUUGACGGGGGCCCGCACAAGCGUGGAGCAUGUGGUUUAAUUCGACGCAACGGAAGAACCUUACCCAGGUUGGACAUGCAGGUAGUAAGAACCUGAAAGGGGG
RNAcentral lists this ribosomal RNA (860 nucleotides) under uncultured bacterium. Its description in RNAcentral is "bacterial SSU rRNA". It matches the Rfam family "Bacterial small subunit ribosomal RNA", at positions 144 to 1011 of the family's 1533-position model. The record is from RNAcentral.